This 70-nucleotide transfer RNA is filed under the name Nibea coibor. Its description in RNAcentral is "tRNA-Pro". It matches the Rfam family "tRNA". Rfam says of the family: Transfer RNA (tRNA) molecules are approximately 80 nucleotides in length. Their secondary structure includes four short double-helical elements and three loops (D, anti-codon, and T loops). The record is from RNAcentral. Lineage: Eukaryota; Metazoa; Chordata; Actinopteri; Sciaenidae.
CAGAAAGUAGUUUUAAUUAGAAUGUUAGCUUUGCGGAUUAGUGGUGGAGGUGAGACUCCUUCCUUUCUGA